UACGGAGGGUGCAAGCGUUAAUCGGAAUUACUGGGCGUAAAGCGCACGCAGGCGGUUUGAUAAGUCAGGUGUGAAAGCCCCGGGCUCAACCUUGGAAUUGCAUUUAAAACUGUUCGGCUUGAGUAUUGUAGAGGGGGGUGGAAUUCCAGGUGUAGCGGUGAAAUGCGUAGAUAUAUGGAGGAAUACCGGUGGCGAAGGCGGCCCCCUGGACAAUGACUGACGCUGAGGUGCGAAAGCGUGGGGAGCAAACAGG
This 253-nucleotide ribosomal RNA is filed under the name uncultured bacterium. RNAcentral's name for it is "partial 16S ribosomal RNA". It matches the Rfam family "Bacterial small subunit ribosomal RNA", at positions 524 to 776 of the family's 1533-position model. The record is from RNAcentral.